GAAGAUGAUGAAACUAAGUUUCUUCUUUCCCAGUCUGAUUCGACUAUGACGACAGGGUUGAAAAUCGUUCCUAUUCAUUAUAGGCUCGCUCUUGCAAGCAGCCUGGAUAGGAGCUUAUACUUGCCAGUAUUGAGCAGUUCUGAUUC
RNAcentral lists this small nucleolar RNA (146 nucleotides) under Clavispora lusitaniae ATCC 42720. RNAcentral's name for it is "Small nucleolar RNA snR190". It matches the Rfam family "Small nucleolar RNA snR190". Lineage: Eukaryota; Fungi; Ascomycota; Pichiomycetes; Serinales; Metschnikowiaceae. The record is from Rfam by way of RNAcentral.